UACGAAGGGGGCUAGCGUUGCUCGGAUUUACUGGGCGUAAAGGGCGCGUAGGCGGACAGUUAAGUUAGGGGUGAAAUCCCGGGGCUCAACCUCGGAACUGCCUUUAAAACUGGCUGUCUUGAGUACGGGAGAGGUGUGUGGAACUCCGAGUGUAGAGGUGAAAUUCGUAGAUAUUCGGAAGAACACCAGUGGCGAAGGCGACACACUGGCCCGUUACUGACGCUGAGGCGCGAAAGCGUGGGGAGCAAACAGG
This 253-nucleotide unclassified non-coding RNA is filed under the name uncultured Caulobacteraceae bacterium. Its description in RNAcentral is "contains 16S-23S intergenic spacer region". It matches the Rfam family "Bacterial small subunit ribosomal RNA", at positions 524 to 776 of the family's 1533-position model. The record is from RNAcentral. Lineage: Bacteria; Pseudomonadati; Pseudomonadota; Alphaproteobacteria; Caulobacterales; Caulobacteraceae.